This 497-nucleotide ribosomal RNA is filed under the name uncultured bacterium. RNAcentral describes it as "bacterial SSU rRNA". It matches the Rfam family "Bacterial small subunit ribosomal RNA", at positions 17 to 507 of the family's 1533-position model. The record is from RNAcentral.
UCCUGGCUCAGAACGAACGCCAGCGGCAGGCCUAAUACAUGCAAGUCGAACGGCCCCGACACUUCGGUGUCGGGGUAGUGGCGCACGGGUGCGUAACGCGUACACAACAUACCCGUUUACAGGGGGAUAGCGGCGGGAAACUGCCAGUAAUACCCCAUGUCCUUGCGAGGUGGCAUCAUUUUGCAAAGAAAGUUCAAGCGGUAAAGGAUUGGUGUGCGUCCGAUUAGCUAGUUGGUAGGGUAAAGGCCUACCAAGGCCACGAUCGGUAGCUGGUCUGAGAGGAUGAUCAGCCACACUGGGACUGAGACACGGCCCAGACUCCUACGGGAGGCAGCAGUGGGGAAUAUUGGACAAUGGGCGCAAGCCUGAUCCAGCAAUGCCGCGUGUGUGAAGAAGGCCUGCGGGUUGUAAAGCACUUUCAGUGGGGAAGAACAGAUUCGGGUCAAUACCCCGGAGCCCUGACGUUACCCACAGAAGAAGCACCGGCUAACUCCGUG